CAAUCAUGUAGUUUUGGCGGAAAUUUCCCCAUCAUUCUAGGAUGAUACAGAAAGAAAAAAUGUGCCUGGACCCUCCCUCUUGGUGGGUCUGUGGAAACAUAAGCGGUUUUUUAAUGGACCCCUGCAUCAAUACCAAAAAUGGGGGUUUGGUAAUGAGAAACAAGGACAGGCCAUCUGCAGUGACCCAGCCCAGGACGAAGUUUACAAACACCUCCUGGAACGAAGCUCCCACCUGCAUGUCACCUUGAUGGGGGCUGUGAGCGGGCAGUGUGAUGCCCAGUGACUAGACGCACUCUGCGUUUUCCCGUGUUUGAGGCUGAGGCCUGCUGGACAGAUGGCUGGCCAAGUGGGAGCAGACCCCAGGGAGUUUGCACCUUGGCUGGGCCGGAUUCGGACCGGCUCUGUAUUCACUACACUCGGAAUAGCCUGGCUGCUUCUCUGUCUCCGAGACCGAAGGCAGUGGGAACCAACAGUCGGGCUGGAGAGUUGGCGCUGGCAAAACAGUCCUUCCCCUGGGGCUGGUUCUCACCCAGGUCCAGAGAAACCAACGCGGGAGAUGUCAGACUUCACCAAAAGGACUUUCUGGUUGCCCCGGCUGGCUUCCUGGAGGCGUUCGCCUCUAGUUUCUCAGGGAUGGAGCGAGAGCCCAGCCAGAGAACAGUAAGAGGAGCUGCUCUCCUAUCUGCACUCACCCAGGCCUUCACUGAGACUUUACCACUGAGGGGGCUGAGUGCAGCUGCAGCUAGGUCCGCGUCCCUCACUCUUUGCAUCUUCUGCACAUUCUUCGUGAAACUGGAAGGAUCCCGGGUCUCAGCCAGAACACGGUGGAAGAGAACUUUCCUAGGAAACGGUUCAUGUGUCACUUUUCAGGAUGUGGAAACGCUGGGACUCAUACACCCUCCAUUGCUUGGUGCUGGGACUGUGUGGCCUCCACUCGGCACUUGCCAACCUGAGUCUGGGGCCAGGGGAGCCCAGGCUGCCCUGCACUCCUGCCUCCCAGCCCACAGCCAGGUGAUUUCAUCACAGCUAAGCCUGGUUCCUUCCAAACCUCCCACCCACUCGGGCUUGUAACUGUCCGAGCCCCGGAUCCGGUGGGGUGAAAGCAGCCAGCUCCUCAUCUCAGUGACUCACAGGACAUGGCCAUCCAGUGGCAUCUUUCCUUGUUGAAUGAUACUGUAAUGACCUUCCAAAAUGAAAAGUAGCACAUUAAAGUGAUUUUAUUGUUUCCUGUUUCUCAUUCUGAUUCCUUUUUCCUCCUAUGUUGCCAGAUUCUGGAACAGAACCCCAGCCCUUCCAGAUCUGAGAGCCACUCUUUCUUUGCUCUGGAUUUCUGUCAUGUCGGGGGCCUCUCCCUCUGCAGAGUUGCAUGUUGCUGUUCCUGAUGCACAGACUCCUCCCCUGCUGCUUUUCUGCCCACUGGCUCAGGAUCUGCCAUUCUUUACAAGUUUCCUUAACGUAUUGCGUCAAAGCGAGACAACUGAGUCUUAUUCAAACUUGUUUUAACCAGAGAUGGAGGAUCGCUGCUAUGUCACCGCCUGCACAGGGCCGCCCUCAGGCCAGCUUCCUGGGGCUUACUCCAAGGGCAUCGGCUUGCCCCACACUGUGGUGGGAUGUAAAGUGAUAACAGCUAAACGACGCAUGCACAGCAUGUCCUGGUGCCUUCCACGUGACCCCAGAGCAGCAGGUUCUGCACGUGGCAGCCUGGAGUGCAAUGGCGCGAUCUCAGCUCACUGCAACCUCCGCCUCCCUGGUUCAAGCAAUUCUACUGCCUCAGCCUCCCGAGUAGUAGUAUCUCCUGUAAUCCUGAGAUUACAGGCCCCCGCCACCAUGCCCAGGAGAUACUUGAAAGGGACCAUGCCCCGCCGAAGCCCCGUCUCGUGUGGAAGAAUGUCAUCUCCAGUGUCUGCCGCCUCCUCCCCGCAAAGUCUCCCACAAGCACAGGACAAGGGGUGCUUCCAGCAUCUCCUAGGAGCUGACGACGUGUCCGGACCAGGUCUCAUGCUUGGUGCCUGGUGCCAGGGAACUGUGGAACACAUCGCAGAGAGAGCUCAGGUGCCACGUUUCAAUCCCUGAGCAGCUCUCACAAGCCUGCACCCAGGACUGGGGGGCCUGCUGGGGGAGCCCAAAGGACCCAAAGGGAAAGGGAGAAUUUCCAAGGCUGCAUCCAUCUCCAUCCAGCUCCAUCAGGCCCAGUGAAUUUCCACACAACCUGGUCGCCGCUGCUGUUAUAAAAUCAGAUUCCUUCUGUGACCCCUAGUAUGCACCCGUAAACCCGGCUGGAGGGAGGGAAUUCCUUAGCUACUGCUGUGCUUUUAACAAUUUUUCAAGAG
Molecule: non-coding RNA, 2330 nt
Filed under: Pongo abelii (Sumatran orangutan)
Lineage: Eukaryota; Metazoa; Chordata; Mammalia; Primates; Hominidae
Source: RNAcentral